Molecule: ribosomal RNA, 491 nt
Filed under: uncultured bacterium
Lineage: Bacteria
Description: partial 16S ribosomal RNA
Rfam family: Bacterial small subunit ribosomal RNA
Source: RNAcentral
AGUGAACGCUGGCGGUAGGCCUAACACAUGCAAGUCGAACGGCAGCACAGUAGGAGCUUGCUCUUACGGGUGGCGAGUGGCGGACGGGUGAGGAAUACAUCGGAAUCUACUUUUUCGUGGGGGAUAACGUAGGGAAACUUACGCUAAUACCGCAUACGACCUACGGGUGAAAGCAGGGGAUCUUCGGACCUUGCGCGAUUGAAUGAGCCGAUGUCGGAUUAGCUAGUUGGCGGGGUAAAGGCCCACCAAGGCGACGAUCCGUAGCUGGUGUGAGAGGAUGGUCAGCGACACUGGAACUGAGACACGGUACAGACACCUACGGGAGGCAGCAGUGGGGAAUAUUGGACAAUGGGCGCAAGCCUGAUCCAGCCAUACCGCGUGGGUGAAGAAGGCCUUCGGGUUGUAAAGCCCUUUUGUUGGGAAAGAAAAGCAGCAGGUUAAUACCCCGCUGUGCUGACGGUACCCAAAGAAUAAGCACCGGCUAACUUCGU